CUUCAUGAUAAAUAAUAUCCACAUGGAGACAUCUGUUUCUUUAUUCAGUGCCUCAGGAUUGAGUUUUCUCUCCGUGUCAGCUACAUUUUCAUUGAGAAAUCUAUAGACAAGAAUUUAGGUAAAACAUGGAGACAUCGUCGUUGUCGUCGUCGUCGUCAUCAUCAUCAUCAUCAUCAUCACAACCACCACCAUCAUCACCAC
This 201-nucleotide long non-coding RNA is filed under the name Rattus norvegicus (Norway rat). RNAcentral's name for it is "long non-coding RNA NONRATT031645". The record is from RNAcentral. Lineage: Eukaryota; Metazoa; Chordata; Mammalia; Rodentia; Muridae.